This 788-nucleotide long non-coding RNA is filed under the name Marmota monax (woodchuck). The record is from RNAcentral. Lineage: Eukaryota; Metazoa; Chordata; Mammalia; Rodentia; Sciuridae.
AUCAUGUUCAAAUUAGUUUUAUAAGAGAGUCCCUAAUAUCAUAUUGUAUGUGAUUGUGUGUAUGUGUAUUUGAGUAUUUGAUGUACUUCAUAUUUUACUCUUCACAUGGAAAAGAAAAUCAGUAAUAUUACGUUAUAAAAUGAAAAAUAAUUAAUCUCAUCUUUAUUUUAUGAAACAAAUUACUUCUAAAAAACUAAAACUGAUAGAAACAAUAAAAACGUUUUAAGUGGGGAGCAGUGAGAGAAGAAUUUUGCAUGAUAUUUUAUUUUCAUGUAUAUUUAUGUUACUGUCCAAACCAAAAAAAAAAAAAAUCACAGAAAACCUAAAAACCUAAAGAGAUAAAAAACAAAAGUAAUGACCAGAAGUCAUGGUCACAAACAAGUGAUGGAUUUUCAUCCUACCAAAUCAAUGAAUCAUCAAAUACAUACAAGAAAAAGAAAAAAGUUAUGUGACUGAGUUAGACAUUUAAGCAACAAAUACUUGAGACAUUUUCUUUCUUUAUGGAAUGACAAUUUUAGUGAUAAGAAUUUCAGAUCUUUAUUUGCUUAUGUCAUUCUAAUAGUCCAUACCCAAGUAUGGAUUCCUAAUUGUUAAAAUAUUUCACAAGUAAACUAAUUUCAAUUUUUCAUUUAAUGAAAUUUAAAUACUACUUUCUGGGUUGGCAAAAAUCAAAAGUGAAAACAUACAGGAAUGUAGAUACAAGUUUUCAAGAAAUGUAAAUAAAUUUUAUAAAUUGUUAUAGGAAAUGCAAUAAAACUUACAGCAAAAAUCUGCCAAUGUUUAUAAAA